UAAAGAAAGCGUAACAGCUCACUGAUAUAUUGUUAGAUAGCUUCAAAAAUUUAGAUGGACUAAAUGAUAUACCGAAUUCGGAUAAUAUUUUUAUUAAUUUAAAAAUAUUGGUAACGGAGCAUUCUGUAGGCCUGUAAAGAUAUAAUCGUGAGAUGUAUUGGAGGUAUCAGAAGAGAAAAUGUUGGUAUGAGUAACUAUAAAAUGUGUGAGAUUCACAUUCGCUGAAAACCCAAGGUUUCCUAUCAUAGGAUUAUCCGGGUAGGGUUAGUCGGUACCUAAGGAAAAUGCGAAAGCAAUAUCCGAUGGACAAAAAGGUUAAUAUUCCUUUACCAAAUGUUAAAUGACGCGCUUAAAAUUAAGUAAUAAUUAUGACUAUUUAUUGCAAGAUAAUGAGCGACUAGAAAUAAUUAACAUAAUUAGGCCGUACUAAAACCGACACAGGUGGGUAGGUAGAGAAUACCAAAGCGUUAAGUGAACGGUGCUAAAGGAACUCGGCAAAUUGCUUCUGUAACUUUUUGGAGAAGGAGGACUCGCAUUAGCGCAAGCUAUUGUGAGUGGCACAAAAUCAGGGGGGGCGACUGUUUAUUAAAAACAUAGGACUCUGCAAAAUCGAAAGAUGAUGUAUAGGGUCUGAGACCUGUCCAGUGCUCUAAAGUGAAAUUUUGUGGUGCAUAGCUACAAUUAUAAGCUAGAGUAAACGACGGCAGUAACUAUAACUGUCCUAAGGUAGCGAAGUUCCUUGUCACGUAAGUUGUGACCCGCAUGAAAGGUUUAACGACUCCCUCGCUGUCUCUAGCACCGACUUAGUGAAAUUUAAUUUCCCGUGCAAAUGCGGGAUACUUAUAGCUAGACGGAAAGUCCCCGGCACCUUUACUACAACUUUAUAUUGAUGUAGGGUUAUAUGUACGUAGAAUAAAGAGGAGGCUUUGAAGUGGUGUUUUCGGACAUCAUGGAGCCAACAAUGAAAUACUUUUUACAUAUAACUAUACAUCUAACUCUGUAUUAAUUAAAUAAUAAGAGGACAUUGUAUGGAUGGUAGUUUCGCUGGGGCGGCGAUCUUUUUUUUAUUGAGUAAUUUGAUAAAACGUUAAGCUAAUGCACAUAUUUCCGUGGGGAUAAUAUACUAGUGAUAGUAUAUGAUUAAGCCGCCACAGAGAAUAAAACUAACAAUAUUAUUUAGCUAUAUGCUGGAAUCGGUUAUAAAUGGUCUUAUUCGUAAGUCGAGUAACUGUAAUCAGCAGGGAAGUAGUAUAUAAAAAUACUAUCCCUCAGAGACCAAACGCUAAAAUAGUUGCUUAUGCAACUAUAUGAUAUGGUCCAUAAUUGCCUAAAGAGUAACGGAGAUGUGCAUAAGGUGAGUUCAGUCUGUGUAGAAAGCAGACGUCGAGCGCAAUAGUAUAUACUUGCCUAACUGAGAGAAAAACACUUCGAACAGGUACGAAAGUAGGUUAUAGUGAUCCUGUGGUUCUAUAUGGUAGGGCCAUGGCUUAACGGA
Molecule: ribosomal RNA, 1495 nt
Filed under: Ciona intestinalis (vase tunicate)
Lineage: Eukaryota; Metazoa; Chordata; Ascidiacea; Phlebobranchia; Cionidae
Description: bacterial LSU rRNA
Rfam family: Bacterial large subunit ribosomal RNA
Source: RNAcentral